Molecule: ribosomal RNA, 227 nt
Filed under: uncultured bacterium
Lineage: Bacteria
Description: partial 16S ribosomal RNA
Rfam family: Bacterial small subunit ribosomal RNA
Source: RNAcentral
UGAGUAACACGUAUCCAACCUGCCGUCUACUCUUGGACAGCCUUCUGAAAGGAAGAUUAAUACAAGAUGGCAUCAUGAGUCCGCAUGUUCACAUGAUUAAAGGUAUUCCGGUAGACGAUGGGGAUGCGUUCCAUUAGAUAGUAGGCGGGGUAACGGUCCACCUAGUCUUCGAUGGAUAGGGGUUCUGAGAGGAAGGUCCCCCACAUUGGAACUGAGACACGGUCCAA